RNAcentral lists this ribosomal RNA (943 nucleotides) under Isoptericola variabilis. RNAcentral describes it as "bacterial SSU rRNA". It matches the Rfam family "Bacterial small subunit ribosomal RNA", at positions 47 to 1001 of the family's 1533-position model. Lineage: Bacteria; Bacillati; Actinomycetota; Actinomycetes; Micrococcales; Promicromonosporaceae. The record is from RNAcentral.
CUUAACACAUGCAAGUCGAACGGUGAAGCCCAGCUUGCUGGGUGGAUCAGUGGCGAACGGGUGAGUAACACGUGAGCAACCUGCCCUCCACUUCGGGAUAAGCCUUGGAAACGGGGUCUAAUACCGGAUAUGAGCACUCAUCGCAUGGUGGGUGUUGGAAAGUUUUUCGGUGGGGGAUGGGCUCGCGGCCUAUCAGCUUGUUGGUGGGGUGAUGGCCUACCAAGGCGUCGACGGGUAGCCGGCCUGAGAGGGCGACCGGCCACACUGGGACUGAGACACGGCCCAGACUCCUACGGGAGGCAGCAGUGGGGAAUAUUGCACAAUGGGCGCAAGCCUGAUGCAGCGACGCCGCGUGAGGGAUGACGGCCUUCGGGUUGUAAACCUCUUUCAGCAGGGAAGAAGCGCAAGUGACGGUACCUGCAGAAGAAGCGCCGGCUAACUACGUGCCAGCAGCCGCGGUAAUACGUAGGGCGCAAGCGUUGUCCGGAAUUAUUGGGCGUAAAGAGCUCGUAGGCGGUCUGUCGCGUCUGGUGUGAAAUCCCGAGGCUCAACCUCGGGCUUGCAUCGGGUACGGGCAGACUAGAGUGCGGUAGGGGAGACUGGAAUUCCUGGUGUAGCGGUGGAAUGCGCAGAUAUCAGGAGGAACACCGAUGGCGAAGGCAGGUCUCUGGGCCGCAACUGACGCUGAGGAGCGAAAGCAUGGGGAGCGAACAGGAUUAGAUACCCUGGUAGUCCAUGCCGUAAACGUUGGGCACUAGGUGUGGGGCUCAUUCCACGAGUUCCGUGCCGCAGCUAACGCAUUAAGUGCCCCGCCUGGGGAGUACGGCCGCAAGGCUAAAACUCAAAGGAAUUGACGGGGGCCCGCACAAGCGGCGGAGCAUGCGGAUUAAUUCGAUGCAACGCGAAGAACCUUACCAAGGCUUGACAUGCACCGGAAACACUC